RNAcentral lists this ribosomal RNA (427 nucleotides) under uncultured bacterium. Its description in RNAcentral is "bacterial SSU rRNA". It matches the Rfam family "Bacterial small subunit ribosomal RNA", at positions 355 to 774 of the family's 1533-position model. The record is from RNAcentral.
UAGGGAAUUUUCCACAAUGGGCGAAAGCCUGAUGGAGCAAUGCCGCGUGAGUGAUGAUAGGUCUUCGGAUUGUAAAACUCUGUUAUAAGAAAAGAAUGUGCUAAUUAGGAAAUGAAUUAGUAAGUGACUAUCUUAUCAGAAAACCACGGCUAACUACGUGCCAGCAGCCGCGGUAAUACGUAGGUGGUAAGCGUUAUCCGGAAUUAUUGGGCGUAAAGGGUGCGCAGGCGGUCUAUAUAAGUCUAAGGUAAAAUCUUGAAGCUCAACUUCAAGCAGCCUUGGAAACUGUUAGACUAGAGGAUAGAAGAGGGCAACGGAAUUCCAUGUGUAGUGGUAAAAUGCGUUGAUAUAUGGAGGAACACCGGCGGCGAAGGCGGUUGCCUGGUCUAUCACUGACGCUCAUGCACGAAAGCGUGGGGAGCAAAUA